RNAcentral lists this ribosomal RNA (1361 nucleotides) under uncultured bacterium. RNAcentral describes it as "bacterial SSU rRNA". It matches the Rfam family "Bacterial small subunit ribosomal RNA", at positions 28 to 1381 of the family's 1533-position model. The record is from RNAcentral.
AUUGAACGCUGGCGGCAGGCCUAACACAUGCAAGUCGAGCGGUAGCACAGAGAGCUUGCUCUCGGGUGACGAGCGGCGGACGGGUGAGUAAUGUCUGGGAAACUGCCUGAUGGAGGGGGAUAACUACUGGAAACGGUAGCUAAUACCGCAUAACGUCGCAAGACCAAAGUGGGGGACCUUCGGGCCUCAUGCCAUCAGAUGUGCCCAGAUGGGAUUAGCUAGUAGGUGGGGUAAUGGCUCACCUAGGCGACGAUCCCUAGCUGGUCUGAGAGGAUGACCAGCCACACUGGAACUGAGACACGGUCCAGACUCCUACGGGAGGCAGCAGUGGGGAAUAUUGCACAAUGGGCGCAAGCCCGAUGCAGCCAUGCCGCGUGUGUGAAGAAGGCCUUCGGGUUGUAAAGCACUUUCAGCGGGGAGGAAGGCGGUGAGGUUAAUAACCUCAUCGAUUGACGUUACCCGCAGAAGAAGCACCGGCUAACUCCGUGCCAGCAGCCGCGGUAAUACGGAGGGUGCAAGCGUUAAUCGGAAUUACUGGGCGUAAGGCGCACGCAGGCGGUCUGUCAAGUCGGAUGUGAAAUCCCCGGGCUCAACCUGGGAACUGCAUUCGAAACUGGCAGGCUAGAGUCUUGUAGAGGGGGGUAGAAUUCCAGGUGUAGCGGUGAAAUGCGUAGAGAUCUGGAGGAAUACCGGUGGCGAAGGCGGCCCCCUGGACAAAGACUGACGCUCAGGUGCGAAAGCGUGGGGAGCAAACAGGAUUAGAUACCCUGGUAGUCCACGCCGUAAACGAUGUCGAUUUGGAGGUUGUGCCCUUGAGGCGUGGCUUCCGGAGCUAACGCGUUAAAUCGACCGCCUGGGGAGUACGGCCGCAAGGUUAAAACUCAAAUGAAUUGACGGGGGCCCGCACAAGCGGUGGAGCAUGUGGUUUAAUUCGAUGCAACGCGAAGAACCUUACCUGGUCUUGACAUCCACAGAACUUUCCAGAGAUGGAUUGGUGCCUUCGGGAACCGUGAGACAGGUGCUGCAUGGCUGUCGUCAGUUCGUGUUGUGAAAUGUUGGGUUAAGUCCCGCAACGAGCGCAACCCUUAUCCUUUGUUGCCAGCGGUCCGGCCGGGAACUCAAAGGAGACUGCCAGUGAUAAACUGGAGGAAGGUGGGGAUGACGUCAAGUCAUCAUGGCCCUUACGACCAGGGCUACACACGUGCUACAAUGGCAUAUACAAAGAGAAGCGACCUCGCGAGAGCAAGCGGACCUCAUAAAGUAUGUCGUAGUCCGGAUUGGAGUCUGCAACUCGACUCCAUGAAGUCGGAAUCGCUAGUAAUCGUAGAUCAGAAUGCUACGGUGAAUACGUUCCCGGGCCU